This 567-nucleotide long non-coding RNA is filed under the name Pongo abelii (Sumatran orangutan). Its description in RNAcentral is "lincRNA". The record is from RNAcentral. Lineage: Eukaryota; Metazoa; Chordata; Mammalia; Primates; Hominidae.
CUUUACAAGUCCCAAUGUUAUACCGGUUAAACUCCGCCAUUUUGCCUCUUAGUGCUCGUGCUUGAGCCCGCUUGCCCAACUCCUGAGAUCUCAUCGGGAAGCUGCUGAUCAGCAAUUACAACAAGCAGUCACCGUCUAUGAACUAGAAAGCUGAUUCACCAGACACUGAAUCUGCCAGCACCUUGGUCUUGGACUUCCCAGCCUCCAGAACUAGGAAAUGUUUCAACACAUCUGAGGAAACACAUGCCUUCCCAAACUGGCCUGAUGCUGUUUCCCAGGAGCUGCAUUCUGGAAGGUGGACCAUCAGGUGGAAGAAGUAUUCUUCAGAGAGCUGCCUUCCCAAGGGAAUGGUGACAGCUUGCGCUUGCCGGGGAGUCCUGCUGCCUUCCGAGGUGUGAAGGGAAGGCAUGCACUGUGCAUAUGCUGUACCAUACAGUUUUGCCUACAACGGCUUGUAGCUUCAUUGUAGCUGUGAAUGCUCUGUUCCUCUCCUUUUCACCCCUGAAGAUUCGCGAACAUGCAGGAUUGAGCUGUGUGAGGCAUAGCAUUCCCCACAUGGUAGGCGAA